Molecule: ribosomal RNA, 253 nt
Filed under: uncultured bacterium
Lineage: Bacteria
Description: partial 16S ribosomal RNA
Rfam family: Bacterial small subunit ribosomal RNA
Source: RNAcentral
UACGUAGGGUGCGAGCGUUAAUCGGAAUUACUGGGCGUAAAGCGUGCGCAGGCGGUGAUGUAAGACAGUUGUGAAAUCCCCGGGCUCAACCUGGGAAUUGCAUCUGUGACUGCAUCGCUAGAGUACGGUAGAGGGGGAUGGAAUUCCGCGUGUAGCAGUGAAAUGCGUAGAUAUGUGGAGGAAUACCGAUGGCGAAGGCAGCCCCCUGGGUCGACACUGACGCUCAUGCACGAAAGCGUGGGGAGCAAACAGG